ACUCCUACGGGAGGCAGCAGUGGGGAAUAUUGGACAAUGGGCGCAAGCCUGAUCCAGCAACGCCGCGUGGGUGAAGAAGGCCUUCGGGUUGUAAAGCUCUUUCGGCCGGGAAGAAAUCGUGUUUUCUAACAUAGGACAUGGAUGACGGUACCGGACUAAGAAGCACCGGCUAACUACGUGCCAGCAGCCGCGGUAAU
RNAcentral lists this ribosomal RNA (197 nucleotides) under uncultured bacterium. Its description in RNAcentral is "partial 16S ribosomal RNA". It matches the Rfam family "Bacterial small subunit ribosomal RNA", at positions 335 to 524 of the family's 1533-position model. The record is from RNAcentral.